AUCUUUUACACGUACACACUUGCUUGUGUGUAGGGUUAACGUUUCUUAUACACAUAAGCAUUUAUUGUAUUUAUAUACGGUUAUACAAAUUUAACCCAAUUCAAUGUUAAAUUUUUUAUUUUAUUCAAUCGUAAAUUGACUACUAGAUAUUUAAAUCUUUAUUUGAAAAAAAAUAAACAAAAAAAACAAGAAUUUUAUUUGAAUUUAACAAAAAAAUAUCUACGUUAGAUAGGCGCUUUUUCUUUGAUUUUUUUCAUUUAUUUGUAGAUGUGUAUCUCCACAAAUACUUAGAAGCCGCUUGUAUUAUAUAGUGUCGUCAAAGUCGGUAGUAAUGCGAGCAGGUCCGUACCUUUAAUCUAUUUCUCCUUUUUCAUUCAGUUUUUUUUUACGAACAAACUACAAAUUUCAUACUAUGUAGAGCGCGACAAAAAUUUUUUUGUAUGUAUUCUUGAUACUUGUGAGUAGACUAAAAAAUAUAUAUGCAUGUAUGAGGAUAUAUAUAUAUUUAUUCAAAAUUGUUCGUGCAAUAUUUUCAAGAUAAAGUAUGCAAUCUAGGUAGUACAUUUAGAAUGUUCUAGAACCUUUACGUUUGGCCUCGUUUCCGGCGCAUGGAUAUACUAAAAGGUGCGCAAUAUCAGGUCUUUUCCAUCAUAUAUAUAUAUAUGUGUGUGUGUGUGUGUAUAUGGGGAUAGAGGUGAUGGUUUCAUUGAAUGACUGAGAGAUUUUUUUUUCGUUAAUGUACUUUUUUUAUUUUACGGAGCACGCGCCGGCAGUCAUCGUGUAAUACACGAGCACGUUUUACUCGAGCGGGAACAGCUGCCGGCGAAACCGUCGCAGGUGAAGAUAUGCUGGGCAGAUGUACCGUUUUUAGGGAAGACCACAAGUCACCACACUUACUCCACUAUGGGCUAGUAGUAGUGUAGAUUCGUCUUUUUUAAAGAAUUACAUUUACAAUUAAUUGGAGUUAGAAAUAAGCUUUUUCCAGCCGUUAAAAUAUGAUAAAAAAAUGUUAUUAAGUACACCUAUUAACAUAUUAGUCU
This is a long non-coding RNA of Cotesia glomerata, 1040 nucleotides long. RefSeq lists it as uncharacterized. The transcript is spliced from 4 exons. Lineage: Eukaryota; Metazoa; Arthropoda; Insecta; Hymenoptera; Braconidae. The record is from RefSeq and is a predicted model, not a curated record.